UUUCAUUUACCCCUUUUGCUGGUAAUGAUCGUUUCUCCCCCCGAUUGGUCAUCAUUUUUAUACUCAGUAUUCGGUAUCCCAAUGUCCUUUCUUUUCGGUUGAUCUGUCCGUUAUUAACCCAGUAACCGGUUGUAGAUAAUCUUCCAUGCGAGUAUGUUAUCUAUGUUCUGACGGUAAUAGAUAAUAUAUCUCAUGCGCUCUUCAGUCGAAGUCUUUUUCU
This 220-nucleotide long non-coding RNA is filed under the name Lathyrus oleraceus (garden pea). Its description in RNAcentral is "Pisum sativum (pea) long non-coding RNA (PSAT_LNC034349)". The record is from RNAcentral. Lineage: Eukaryota; Viridiplantae; Streptophyta; Magnoliopsida; Fabales; Fabaceae.